AAACUUACCAGGUCAAGACAUGGGCGUGAUUGACAGGCUAAUGACUUUUCUCGAUUCCAUGGAUGGUGGUGCAUGGUCGCACUUAGUUGGUGCAGUGAUUUGUCAGGUUUAUUCCGGUAACGAACGAGACCUCGGCCUUGUAAAUAGCUAUGCUGCUUACAGGGACAUUGGCGGCUACGCCAAGGAAGCUCGAGGCAAUUGCAGAUCUGGAAUGCCCUUAGAUGUCCUGGGUCGCACGCGUGCUACAAUGACGCCACGAACGAGCUUGCGUGAUGAAAGUUACGCAUAAUCAGCAGUCGGCGUCUUAAGGGAUAGUCUCUUGUAACUGUGGGACUCCAACUAGGAAUGUCUCGUAAGCACAAGUCAACAUCUUGUGUUGAUUACGUCCCUGCUCUUUGUACACACCGCCCGUCGCUCCUACCGAUCGAGUGUUUAGGUGAAUUUGAUGGACGUAAGGAAGUCAAAUAAACCUGAGCACUAGAGAAGAGAAGUCGAGCAGC
Molecule: ribosomal RNA, 500 nt
Filed under: uncultured Myrionecta
Lineage: Eukaryota; Ciliophora; Litostomatea; Cyclotrichida; Mesodiniidae
Description: bacterial SSU rRNA
Rfam family: Eukaryotic small subunit ribosomal RNA
Source: RNAcentral